RNAcentral lists this unclassified non-coding RNA (224 nucleotides) under plant metagenome. Its description in RNAcentral is "partial contains small subunit ribosomal RNA, internal transcribed spacer 1, and 5.8S ribosomal RNA". The record is from RNAcentral.
UCUCCGUUGGUGAACCAGCGGAGGGAUCAUUACAGGACUCGCAAGACUCCUUCACCCUGUGAACCUCACUACAAGCACGUUGCUUCGGCGGGUGUCCCGGCGGGGGUUUUCCCUCGCCGGGGCGCACGGCCCGCCGGCAGCCUACUAUACUCUGUCCCUUUGCGUUGGCAUCUCGAGAAAAAACAAACAAGUUAAAACUUUCAACAACGGAUCUCUUGGUUCUG